UACGGAAGGCAGCAGUGGGGAAUAUUGCACAAUGGGCGCAAGCCUGAUGCAGCCAUGCUGCGUGUAUGAAGAAGGCCUUCGGGUUGUAAAGUACUUUCAGUCGUGAGGAAGGUGUUAAGGUUAAUAACCUUAGCAAUUGACGUUAGCGACAGAAGAAGCACCGGCUAACUCCGUGCCAGCAGCCGCGGUAAUACGGAGGGUGCGAGCGUUAAUCGGAAUUACUGGGCGUAAAGGGCACGCAGGCGGUUAAUUAAGUUGGAUGUGAAAUCCCCGGGCUUAACCUGGGAAUGGCAUUCAAGACUGGUUAGCUAGAGUCUUGUAGAGGGGGUAGAAUUCCAUGUGUAGCGGUGAAAUGCGUAGAGAUGUGGAGGAAUACCGGUGGCGAAGGCGGCCCCUGGGACAAAGGACUGACGCUCAUGUGCGAAAGCGUGGGGAGCAAACAGGAUUAGAUACC
RNAcentral lists this ribosomal RNA (454 nucleotides) under uncultured bacterium. RNAcentral describes it as "bacterial SSU rRNA". It matches the Rfam family "Bacterial small subunit ribosomal RNA", at positions 340 to 786 of the family's 1533-position model. The record is from RNAcentral.